UAAUACCGGAUAACAAUGUUUGACAUAAGUUAAAUAUUUGAAAGCUUUAUGUGCUGAAGGAGGGGUCUGCGUCCCAUUAGCUAGUUGGUGAGGUAAAGGCUUACCAAGGCAACGAUGGGUAACGGGUUUGAGAGGACGAUCCGUCACACUGGAACUGAGACACGGUCCAGACUCCUACGGGAGGCAGCAGUGGGGAAUAUUGCACAAUGGAGGAAACUCUGAUGCAGCAAUGUCGCGUGAGUGAAGAAGGCCCUUGGGUCGUAAAGCUCUUUUAUGGGGGAAGAUGAUGACGGUACCCCAGGAAUAAGCACCGGCUAACUACGUGCCAGCAGCCGCGGUAAUACGUAGGGUGCGAGCGUUGUUCGGAAUUACUGGGCGUAAAGGGCGCGCAGGCGGAAUAGUAAGUCGGAGGUGAAAGCCCGGGGCUCAACCCCGGAGGGUCUUUCGAAACUGCUAAUCUAGAGAGGGGUCAGGGGCCAGCAGAAUUCCUGGGUGUAGAGGUGAAAUUCGUAGAUAUCAGGAGGAAUACC
Molecule: ribosomal RNA, 530 nt
Filed under: uncultured delta proteobacterium
Lineage: Bacteria; Deltaproteobacteria
Description: bacterial SSU rRNA
Rfam family: Bacterial small subunit ribosomal RNA
Source: RNAcentral